This is a long non-coding RNA of Alosa sapidissima (American shad), 2288 nucleotides long. RefSeq lists it as uncharacterized. The record is from RefSeq and is a predicted model, not a curated record. Lineage: Eukaryota; Metazoa; Chordata; Actinopteri; Clupeiformes; Clupeidae. The transcript has 5 exons.
AGCAAGUAGAAACCGCCACGGCACUCUGAAACUUUAAUCCCUUGGAGCAAUUUGAGCUCUGCCUGUUUGGAUGACUUCUCCACUAUAUCACGUUACACACAAACUCAAACACUGUGCAUCUGUAAAAGAAUAGGUCUUUUGGAUGUACAUCGUCUGAAUGGGAAUGUUGCUGAUUGUUUGUACCAGGAAAGCUCAGAAGUGAGGGGAAAAAACAUUGUAAAUGGGUUCUCUGUUCACCGAGCUGGAGUUCUACACCGUAGUGUUCUCUUUGAUUGUCUUCAGCCUGUUCACACUGGUCGGAGUUAUGAAGGAAAACUGUACAAGCACCACGGACAGGAACUUCUGGGAGGCCCAGAGUGAGCAGCCGACGCUGGUGUGAACUACUGUAAGUGAGCGCAGCUCCCAGUGGAGCACGGGGAGGGGUUAUUUUGCCACUGUUCCUGGGUCAGCAUCCUGUGUUACUGAAGGCAUAACCUCCUGGACUGCACCCAGUGCUUAUGAAUGGAGGGUGCACAAUGUGUGUGUGACUUAGGAAAUUAGGGAAUAGUUGGAGUUUACGCUUUAAAGCUAGUUAGAGCUUUUUAUUUGUGUAGCUUGUGAGUGUGUGUGUGUGUGCGAGUGACGUAGUUGAUUGUCCUUGGGAAUGGGAGUGUUAAGUGUACUUUGGCUGUAUAUUAUGUUCCACUCUGCAAAGUAGUUGAGUCAUGUUAGGAACAAAACUCAAGAGAUAUCCUUUAUACAUAUCUUUAAUAUCUCUUAAAUUUUUAUGGAGAAAAGCUUCAGGACUGGAACUACAAUAACCUCCUUUGUUGACUGCCAUUCAGGUAUGUUUCUGUGCCAUAUAUAUGUAUACAUGUGCUGGUCAUUUAAUGUUGCUGUGACUAAACAUCAUGCAAAUAGAGAAUUACAUUCAACUACAUUGAUUUGCACGGGUUAAGUAGGCCUAUUGUGGUAAGUCUUCUGACUAUCCUUUUUGCAGAAGCAAGCAUGCCGUUUUUCAGGUCAGCUAAAUAUGGUAACCUCUCCGUGCCUAUAGCAUGUCUUAACUUCUGACCAAACAAGUUUUUUAAAAUCCUGUUCCGAUCGAUGCGUCGUUCAUUUUCAAGCACCAAGCAGCCUACGUCGGCCUCGUAAAAUGUCACCGCAGUCAAGUGCAAGUCAGACUUCUACUUACACCAUCGGGUUGAAGGUGAGGACAGAGAAAUAUUUUUAUUAUUUAUCGGAUUUUAACUUAUAAGAAGAUCGCUUGAACAUGCGCUAGAUAAAGUAACCGGUAGCCACUGCGUUCUGAUUCAGUCCGAGUAGCCUGGUUAGCGCGCAGACCUUCUGUUGUAUAGUCUACCAAAGCUAUGGUCCGACAGCGCUAGUGGAGUUUUUGUACCGGACACUGACAUCUGACGAUAUCUUGUGGCUCAUGAUUGCGAAAACAGGUCUCAUUUUGAAUCUGCGUUCCGAACCCUUACAAACACUAUUUUUACACUUUGUUCAACCCAGAUAACUGGACAGGUUGUACAACUUUAAAGUCAGGUUACUUAGCCUACUCACAGUCAGUGCAUUCUUGACCCAACUUGCGGAGCCGGUUUGACAGACAUAGAUAGGCCCAUGGUUCUUCUCAAGUUUUGACAUAAUUUCUGCGCCUUUUAGUUAGUUCGCGAGUUUAGCGCAGAGCCUCAUGCAGAACGUUUAUCUUUGUCUUCAGUUGCAGUCAUGGUGUGUCAUUCCACUUUAUUACACAUCAAACUCUACUUAUGGACUUUAAUGUUUGGAUUUAUAUGGGAGGGUUUACCUGAGUUAAUACUAAUGCCUAGUGAAAAUGUCAUGCAAAUAGCCUAACUGGAAGUAUACUUACUGUAAAAAAUGUUGAUGUGUUACAUAGCUGUACAUAGGCCACAACUUGAUGGUCCUUCAUAUGCUUGAUAGUUGAAAAUCUUCCCUUGGUUAAUCAUGCACACUUAUUGUUUCUAUGUACAGCGUCCGUACUGUGUGAGUGUAUAUGUCUGUGUAUGUAUGUGUAUGUAUGUUUGUGUAUUUGUGUGUGUUAUGGAGCUGCCUUUCACCAAGUUUGAGUUGGUCUUCAUCUUCAUCGCGUUCACUGUGUUCUCCAUGUUCAGUAUUGCUUUGGUAUGCCAGUUCCACAGGAGCGAAGAACCAGAUCUAAAUGAGCAGUUUUUAAAGGCCCAUCUGAAGAGCCUGAGGAGGAGAAAGAAACAGAAAGAGAUCACCAUCACAACAGCAUGCCCGCUAAUACAACUGCCCUGAACCUGGCCCAUCGAACCACAAACAUGUAC